UCCUGGCCUCAGAACUGAGGCUCAGAGCGAGGAAGACGAGGGAGUGGCGCGCACAGCUUCCUGGGAAGAACGAGGGGUUCAGCCAUCCAGUGAAUCUACACAUACAUGGGAUUUAUGCCAUCCUAUGAAGGCUACUAAAGGGAGUAAGAUUCUAUACAGAUUUUAGAGACCCUUAUAAAGGAAAGAUGGAACAAAAUAAAAUAUCAAAAUCUCAGGAGGAUAUGAGAAGCCUGAGAGGCCCAGCCCUCAAGAGUAACCACCAAGAAGUGAUAAUUAAAAAGCGAAACCAAAUAAUAUAAUGAGAACCAUACAUAAUCUGUAAAGUGAAGCAAAGAAGACCCAGGAGAGCCAAGUUGGUCCUGCAUCUGAGUCCUAGUAGAAAAGUCAGAUCGAGCCUCAUGUGCUGAACUCUCUGGACAAGAGCCCAGGAUUACUGAAUCCAUGGCGGUGACUUAAAGAACAAAAAUGCUGAUAGGUCAAAGUUGGCAGAGAAAGAAGAGGUCAAGUCCACGAGACCUGAGAUUCAGAGAGAACCGAGGGAUUGAGAGCUGCUGAAAUCAAGGAGAAGCACAUGGAGUAGGAUGAAGAGACACCUGGUUAAGGAAGCAACUCCUCUGACCAAGUUGCCCACCCCAGUAGGCAAUAUGGAAAACAUCAAAGAGCAACAACGUCUGCCCAAGGAUCAGAAGUCCAUGAACUUGCUCAGUCACCAGAAAUCAAAAGCUGUCCCAUGCCCUUAACUGUGUUCUCUCUCCCAGACUAGAAAUAGGAUGGCUCUAGUUUGAACUUCUUGACUUAGAGCUCACCUUGUUCUUACGCUUUUACAGGCAUUAUUGAUGUAUGCUAGGCCUGCUCUUAUAAACCUGAACCUCAGUCCUGGUUUUUCCCACACACUCCAUGGUAGCUAGAGUAUACUGCAGAUUGCUGAAGUGUUUAGGGUUUAAACUCUCACAGUGACAUGGCAGAAGUAGCACACUGUUUGCACAUAAAACUGCUUCAGAACUCUAUCGGAGAAGAGACUUUUCUUCCUUAAUUACAUUCUGCUCUAUAGUCACCUUCCACAACCGGUGAGCAUGUUCAGCCAGGAUCAAUGCAACAGCCGAUGGGCACAGUGACCUGGAAAUAGUCUAACUCAUUAAGCAGGUUGGGCUUGUAGACCAUGCCUUCCCUAAGCAUGAAACAUGCAGAGAGCCCAUUAAGAUUCUACUUGACUUAUAUCAACAUGGACCCCAUGGGAGGUGGUGUGAUUAAACCAAACA
Lepus europaeus (European hare) is the source of this 1259-nucleotide long non-coding RNA. RefSeq lists it as uncharacterized. NCBI's taxonomy places the organism in Eukaryota, Metazoa, Chordata, Mammalia, Lagomorpha, Leporidae. The transcript is spliced from 3 exons. The record is from RefSeq and is a predicted model, not a curated record.